AGUGAACGCUGGCGGUAGGCCUAACACAUGCAAGUCGAACGGCAGCACAGUAAGAGCUUGCUCUUACGGGUGGCGAGUGGCGGACGGGUGAGGAAUACAUCGGAAUCUACUUUUUCGUGGGGGAUAACGUAGGGAAACUUACGCUAAUACCGCAUACGACCUACGGGUGAAAGCAGGGGAUCUUCGGACCCUGCGCGAUUGAAUGAGCCGAUGUCGGAUUAGCUAGUUGGCGGGGUAAAGGCCCACCAAGGCGACGAUCCGUAGCUGGUCUGAGAGGAUGAUCGGCCACCCUGGAACUGAGACACGGUCCAGACUCCUAAGGGAGGCAGCAGUGGGGAAUAUUGGACAAUGGGCGCAAGCCUGAUCCAGCCAUACCGCGUGGGUGAAGAAGGCCUUCGGGUUGUAAAGCCCUUUUGUUGGGAAAGAAAAGCAGCAGGUUAAUACCCCGCUGUUCUGACGGUACCCAAAGAAUAAGCACCGGCUAACUUCGUG
Molecule: ribosomal RNA, 492 nt
Filed under: uncultured bacterium
Lineage: Bacteria
Description: partial 16S ribosomal RNA
Rfam family: Bacterial small subunit ribosomal RNA
Source: RNAcentral